CUGAUGUUAGCGGCGGACGGGUGAGUAACACGUGGGUAACCUACCUAUAAGACUGGGAUAACUCCGGGAAACCGGGGCUAAUACCGGAUAAUAUUUUGAACCGCAUGGUUCAAUAGUGAAAGACGGUUUCGGCUGUCACUUAUAGAUGGACCCGCGCCGUAUUAGCUAGUUGGUAAGGUAACGGCUUACCAAGGCUACGAUACGUAGCCGACCUGAGAGGGUGAUUGGCCACACUGGAACUGAGACACGGUCCAGACUCCUACGGGAGGCAGCAGCC
Molecule: ribosomal RNA, 277 nt
Filed under: uncultured Staphylococcus sp.
Lineage: Bacteria; Bacillati; Bacillota; Bacilli; Caryophanales; Staphylococcaceae
Description: partial 16S ribosomal RNA
Rfam family: Bacterial small subunit ribosomal RNA
Source: RNAcentral